RNAcentral lists this long non-coding RNA (212 nucleotides) under Elaeis guineensis (African oil palm). Its description in RNAcentral is "long non-coding RNA (EGUI_LNC004859)". Lineage: Eukaryota; Viridiplantae; Streptophyta; Magnoliopsida; Arecales; Arecaceae. The record is from RNAcentral.
CUUCGUUCCAUCUAUGCUUCUCUUUUUGCUAUAAACCAUUGCUCCGACAAGCUAGAAACAAGACCUUUGGUCCGCCGGCGGUCUUGUAGUGGUGACGAAGAGUGAUAUCUCGAUCUUCCUUUAUUCUCACACUCUACCAACUCAUUAUCUGCAUUCAGUAUAGUAGAAGAAGAUGGAUUCUCAAAAUAACCAUCACAUAAAGUUUUAUCUAG